AUUGAACGCUGGCGGCAUGCUUUACACAUGCAAGUCGAACGGUAACAGGCCGCAAGGUGCUGUCGAGUGGCGAACGGGUGAGUAAUGCAUCGGAACGUUCGCAGUCGAGGCGGAUAACUACUCGGAAGAGUAGCUAAUAGCCCAGACGAUCUCUGGAGGAAUCCUGGGGACCGUAAUGCCUCGCGCGGUUGCAGCGGCGCAUGUCAGAUUAUGUAGUUGGUGGGGUAAAGGCUCACCACGCCAACGAUCUGUAGCUGCUAUGAGAGGACGACGAGCCACACUGGAAAUGAGACACGGCCAAGACUCCUACGGGAGGCAGCCGUGGGGACUUUUGGACAAAGGGGGCAAGCCUGAUCCAGCAAUGCCGCGUGCAGGAAGAAGGCCUUCGGGUUGUAAACUGAUUUUGUACGGAACGAAACGGCUCUGGUUAAUACCAGAGGAUAAUGACGGUACCGUCAGAAUAAGCACCGGCUAACUACGUG
Molecule: ribosomal RNA, 482 nt
Filed under: uncultured bacterium
Lineage: Bacteria
Description: partial 16S ribosomal RNA
Rfam family: Bacterial small subunit ribosomal RNA
Source: RNAcentral